UACGUAGGGUCCGAGCGUUGUCCGGAAUUACUGGGCGUAAAGAGCUCGUAGGUGGUUUGUCGCGUUGUUCGUGAAAACUCACAGCUCAACUGUGGGCGUGCGGGCGAUACGGGCAGACUAGAGUCAGGUAGGGGAGAACGGAAUUCCUGGUGUAGCGGUGAAAUGCGCAGAUAUCAGGAGGAACACCGGUGGCGAAGGCGGUUCUCUGGGCCUGUACUGACGCUGAGGAACGAAAGCGUGGGGAGCGAACAGG
RNAcentral lists this ribosomal RNA (253 nucleotides) under uncultured bacterium. RNAcentral describes it as "partial 16S ribosomal RNA". It matches the Rfam family "Bacterial small subunit ribosomal RNA", at positions 524 to 776 of the family's 1533-position model. The record is from RNAcentral.